GGAGGGGUUCAAUCGCCAACAUCUAGAUGCGGCGGAGGAGAUCGCCGGCACGCUCCCGCUCGCCCUCCCGUGGCUUCGCCCCCUGAUCGGCCUGUACCUCCACCCAGUAUUGCGUCGUCUUCGUGGGGACGAGGCGGCGCUGGUCAGCGACAACGACGGCGACUACAGUCCUCGCUCCACAGCCUCCCUCUCUGCACCGCGUCGCCGCUUCUCACAGGUAUCUGUUUCUGCUGCAUUUGAAGGACAACUUUAGGACUGCAAUGGCGCUUCAAUAUAACCAAAGAUUUAGAUAAAACAGGCUAGUCUCCCCGAGAACAAGGAAUUGCUAGAAUCCCUUAACUCGGAACAAAAAGACAGUGGAUGUUACGUUUAUGAAGAAUGGUCCUUUUAUUUUCUUGCAAGGAAACAAGUUUAAGCACUUAAAAAGGCUGGAAGGGAAUCUGAAAUGGAUCACCACUUUGGCUUUUCAGAUGGUGAUGGAAUAAGGGAAAAACACAGUGGCGAAGAGAGUCAAGUACAGUUUAUUUGAUGAUCAUCAAGGAGGAAGAGAUUAAUAUUUCUUAUUUGUAGGAGGAAGAGAUUUUAAAAAGGACACCAUGACAAGCAGCAGGCAAGCAGCUUAUUGAAGCAUGUAACUGGCACCGCAAGUUUGCAAGGCUAUGCGGAUAGCUUGUUGGAUGCGACAGCCAGACAUUUUGGUUCAGCACUGUCUGCUCAGCCUGAAGAAAAUGGGUACUCAGUCCUUUCCUCUUGUCUGGAACCGGAAUAAUUGGGCUCAAGGGCCAUGUCACCACUGUCUAUUUCUGAUCUACAAGGUGAUUCUUCCUGGUUCAAGGGCCACGGCAUGCUGGCGCCUUUUACAGCUGGCUGGCAGAGCCAUGAUUUGCACCCUCUGAUCAUUGAGAGAUCUGAGGGUUCCUAUGUCUAUGACAUUAAUGGGAACAAGUAUCUGGACUCUCUUGCAAGAUUAUGGUGCACAACUUUAGGUAUGUGCACGCGACUUUUGUGUUUGUUUCUGGGCU
This is a long non-coding RNA of Zea mays, 1022 nucleotides long. RefSeq lists it as uncharacterized. The record is from RefSeq and is a predicted model, not a curated record. NCBI's taxonomy places the organism in Eukaryota, Viridiplantae, Streptophyta, Magnoliopsida, Poales, Poaceae. The transcript has 6 exons.